Molecule: regulatory RNA element, 117 nt
Organism: Jeotgalibacillus campisalis
Lineage: Bacteria; Bacillati; Bacillota; Bacilli; Caryophanales; Caryophanaceae
Rfam family: PyrR binding site
About the family: This family represents the PyrR binding site and terminator structure. This RNA structure is found upstream of a variety of genes involved in pyrimidine biosynthesis and transport.
Source: Rfam
AACCUUUUUAAUUAAAGUCCAGAGAGGCUUUCAAAAGGGAAGAGCAGCUGCCGCUAAAUGUGAUGCAGUGUAUCUUUUGAACACCUUUUGAGGGCUUUUCUCAAAAGGUGUUUUUUU